This 722-nucleotide ribosomal RNA is filed under the name Funneliformis mosseae. Its description in RNAcentral is "eukaryotic LSU rRNA". It matches the Rfam family "Eukaryotic large subunit ribosomal RNA", at positions 70 to 635 of the family's 3401-position model. The record is from RNAcentral. Lineage: Eukaryota; Fungi; Glomeromycota; Glomeromycetes; Glomerales; Glomeraceae.
AUAGAUUCCCUCWKUAACGGCGAGCGAAGAGGGAUAAGCUCAAAUUUUAAAUCUGUUGGGUUUCACUUAACAGAGUUGUAUUUUGAAGAAACGUUUUCUGCGUCCAGGAUUAGCCUAAAUCCUUUGGGAUAAGGUAUCAUGGAGGGUGAGAAUCCCGUUCAUGGUUAAUCUUAAGGAAGCUCUACGAUACGUUUUCCAAGAGUCGAGUUGUUUGGGAUUGCAGCUCAAAAUGGGAGGUAAAUUUCUCCUAAGGCUAAAUAUUGGCGAGAGACCGAUAGCGAACAAGUACCGUGAGGGAAAGAUGAAAAGAACUUUGAAAAGAGAGUUAAACAGUACGUGAAAUUGUUGAAAGGGAAACGAUUGAAGUCAGUCAUACCAACGGGAAAUCAACCUUUUGAGCUCGGUCUCGUGGGUUUUGAAGAGUUUCAAAGCCUUCGGAUUCGCGGGAUUGGGAUCUCUCGGUGUACUUUUUCGUACGGUUAGUCAACAUCGGUUUUGAAUGUCAUAAAAUGACUGGAGGAAUGUAGCUUCGAUCUCGUAUUGAAGUGUUAUAGCCUUUGGUAGAUGUGAUGUUUGAGACCGAGGAUUGCAACGGAUACCCUUCAGGGCUAUUCGUCUGAUCUCUGAUACGUUGCCUUGAUGUUGAAAGCUUGCUUAUGAUGUUAGGGUAUUACGGUCAAAAGGUUAGAACGAAUUACAUUCGUUAAGGAWRUUGACGUAAU